UAUAUAUAUAUAUAUAUAUAUAUAUAUAUAUAUAUAUAUAUUGAAUCCGGCUACUAUACUCUUAUGAGUACGAUUGCCUUCGUACUCAUAAGUUGUUUUCAAUGAUAGAGCUUCCGAAUGGAUGAUCCAUACCGUUAAACAUUAUCUAGAGUAUUUAAAAACUUCUAGAAAUCAAAUUUUAUAAUUUUUCGAUAUCAUUUACCUUAUGAUAAAAAACUCACAAAAUUGAUAAUUUUUAACAGCCGGUAUGAGAUAUUUGUCAGUUUAACGGUGAAAAAAAAUCAGAAUAGGUUGAAUUUUUUAUAAAAAUUUCUAUUCACUACCUAAAUAAAGAUCAAUAACUCCGAUCGUAAAUUGAAGGAUCCGAUCAUCCAUUUUUAGGAUGUCGUUCAAUUUUAACCAUUCAUUUUAUACCCGCUUGAUGGACUUUAUAAUGAUUUUGAAAAAUUACAAAAUUUAUUUUCUAAAAGUUUCAAAUAGUCUAGAUCAUGUUUAACGGUGUGGAUCGUCCAUUCGAAAACCCUAACAUCGAAAAUAACUUAUGAGUACGAAGGGCUCUAUACUCAUAAGAGUAUAGUAACCUUAUCUAUAUAUAUAUAGAAUUGAGCUAGAAUACUCUUAGAAGCACCAAUCCCUUAGUUCUUCUAAGUUUCUAGCGCUUAGAUCUACUCCGUGAUUAUUAAUAGCCUUUGGAUCAAAUAUUAUUCCACCUACCACCAGUCUAACACCAUCAUCUCAACCAUACAUCUCUCCAUCCAAUGACUAAAAACUCAAAAGUACCACCUUCAUGGUGCAUUGAAAGUAUUUUAGUAUAUAUAUAUAUAUAUAUAGUGUUGAGCUAGAAUACUAUCGAUAGCAAAUGGGCUCCCUUGCCACCCAUUUGUUUUCGAUGAUGGAGCCUCCAAAUCGACGAUCGGUACCGUUGAACAUGAUCUAUACCAGUUGAAGUGUUUAGAAAUCAAAUUUCAAAUCUUUUCGAUAUCAUUUUCCUAAUGAUCAAAGGGUUUCAAAAUUUGUAAUUUUAAUGGUCGAUAUAAGACGUUUCUUGUUUAAUGGCGUAAAGAUAUUUAUAUCAAUUGAAUUUUUGUUAGAAAAUUCUUUAAACUAUUUAAAACAAAAUCUAUACUCUUGAUCUUGAUUACAAGACUCCUAUCAUCAUUUUUUAAAGAAUAUUUAUUUUUCGCCGUUCAUUUUUGUGUCCACUCGAUGGAUAAGAGAACAAUAUCAAAAAUGUAUGAAAUUUGAUUUCUAAACACUUCAAGUGGUAUAGAUCAUGUUCAACGGUGCCGAUCGUCGAUUUGGAGGCUCAUCAUCGA
Molecule: long non-coding RNA, 1316 nt
Filed under: Ananas comosus (pineapple)
Lineage: Eukaryota; Viridiplantae; Streptophyta; Magnoliopsida; Poales; Bromeliaceae
Description: long non-coding RNA (ACOM_LNC025510)
Source: RNAcentral